RNAcentral lists this long non-coding RNA (494 nucleotides) under Homo sapiens (human). Its description in RNAcentral is "HSALNT0001102". Lineage: Eukaryota; Metazoa; Chordata; Mammalia; Primates; Hominidae. The record is from RNAcentral.
AGCCAGGGAGGUGGCUGGAGGCCGGGCGGUGGCUUGGGGUAAUCCAGGAUCCGGGCUCAGGGGAGGGGGUGGGGGGCGUCACUGUCCCCGAGGGGCCAGCCCUUUGCAGAUCUCCAAAAAGUUCAAAGUCCCUGGUCAUUAACUUGGGCUUGAAGACGGGAGCUCGCCCAUCCCGGAAGGGGGCUAGGGGGGACCAGGGCCCGCGACAGGAAGCCUCCGCGCGACAGAAAAGCCCCGGGGGACCAGGCAGAGAGACCCGCAGGCCUAGCCCGCCCCGGAAUCGCCCUGAGCCAGCUGCAGAUAGCCCCACCACCUCUCUCCGGGGACCAGUCACUUCCAGAGAUGGCCCAAACCUGGCCAUUCCCUGGGGCAUCCUGGUCUGCCGCUGCUCACCCCCAAAGCAUUGCCCAGGAGAAUAGGUGAUUGCCUCUCCCAUUACUCACAUCCUGCCCGUCCCUUCUCCAUGGGGGCCUCAGGUCCACCCUUUCCUCUCC